GACGAACGCUGGCGGCGUGCUUAACACAUGCAAGUCGAACGGAAAGGCCCUGCUUUUGUGGGGUUCUCGAGUGGCGAACGGGUGAGUAACACGUGAGUAACCUGCCCUCGACUUUGGGAUAACUUCAGGAAACUGGGGCUAAUACCGGAUAGGAGCUCCUGCUGCAUGGUGGGGGUUGGAAAGUUUCGGCGGUUGGGGAUGGACUCGCGGCUUAUCAGCUUGUUGGUGGGGUAGUGGCUUACCAAGGCUUUGACGGGUAGCCGGCCUGAGAGGGUGACCGGCCACAUUGGGACUGAGAUACGGCCCAGACUCCUACGGGAGGCAGCAGUGGGGAAUAUUGCACAAUGGGCGGAAGCCUGAUGCAGCAACGCCGCGUGCGGGAUGACGGCCUUCGGGUUGUAAACCGCUUUCGCCUGUGACGAAGCGUGAGUGACGGUAAUGGGUAAAGAAGCACCGGCUAACUACGUG
Molecule: ribosomal RNA, 468 nt
Filed under: uncultured bacterium
Lineage: Bacteria
Description: partial 16S ribosomal RNA
Rfam family: Bacterial small subunit ribosomal RNA
Source: RNAcentral